RNAcentral lists this ribosomal RNA (777 nucleotides) under uncultured Bacteroidota bacterium. RNAcentral's name for it is "bacterial SSU rRNA". It matches the Rfam family "Bacterial small subunit ribosomal RNA", at positions 65 to 849 of the family's 1533-position model. Lineage: Bacteria; Pseudomonadati; Bacteroidota. The record is from RNAcentral.
AGGGGUAUUGGUUUUCGGACCAGAGACCGGCGCACGGGUGCGUAACGCGUAUGCAAUCUACCUUUUACAGAGGGAUAGCCCAGAGAAAUUUGGAUUAAUACCUCAUAGUAUUAUUGAAUGGCAUCAUUUAAUAAUUAAAGUCACAACGGUAAAAGAUGAGCAUGCGUCCCAUUAGCUUGUUGGUAAGGUAACGGCUUACCAAGGCAACGAUGGGUAGGGGUCCUGAGAGGGAGAUCCCCCACACUGGUACUGAGACACGGACCAGACUCCUACGGGAGGCAGCAGUGAGGAAUAUUGGUCAAUGGGCGCAAGCCUGAACCAGCCAUGCCGCGUGCAGGAUGACGGUCCUAUGGAUUGUAAACUGCUUUUGUACAGGAAGAAACAUCUCUACGUGUAGAGACUUGACGGUACUGUAAGAAUAAGGAUCGGCUAACUCCGUGCCAGCAGCCGCGGUAAUACGGAGGAUCCAAGCGUUAUCCGGAAUCAUUGGGUUUAAAGGGUCCGUAGGCGGUUUUGUAAGUCAGUGGUGAAAGCCCAUCGCUCAACGGUGGAACGGCCAUUGAUACUGCAAGACUUGAAUUAUUAGGAAGUAACUAGAAUAUGUAGUGUAGCGGUGAAAUGCUUAGAGAUUACAUGGAAUACCAAUUGCGAAGGCAGGUUACUACUAAUUGAUUGACGCUGAUGGACGAAAGCGUGGGGAGCGAACAGGAUUAGAUACCCUGGUAGUCCACGCCGUAAACGAUGGAUACUAGCUGUUCGGAGCAAUCUGAGUGGCUA